UUAUCUGUUUUAAUUUGAUUUGUUUUGAUUUUCAGAAAUCAUUCUCGUCGAUACUGAUCUCUUAAAUCUAUCAAACCUUCAACACAAGUUAAACCUUGGUUAGUGAGUCAAAAGUCUUCUUCAAAACAACACGUCCAUGCCAAGCACAUGUAAAUCGAUGCAAUGGACGCCAGCACAAAACCCACGAACAUUACCGAUGACUUCUCGUCGAAGAACAUCCUUGCUGUCUUGCUGGACGCAACCCUUUGAUGACUGAAGCUAAUGGGCUGAAUCGUCUUGCCUCUAACAGAGCAACUCAGAAAACUUAAUACAAAUAUAACUAGUACAAGAUUAUUACUGAAUGAUAAGCUUGCCAUGACUUUAGGGAAUUUUAGAGCUUGAAGCAAAAAUUAAUUUAUAGAUAGUUUGUUGUGAAGAGAAUGAUUUUAAAAGAGAAUGGUUUUUUGUUUUUACCUAUAGCUUAAUUACGUCAAUUAUUUUGCACCACGAUGCUAGAUCCGAGAUUAUUGUCUAUCGCGAAUGAUUAGGUUAGAGAAAGGAGUUAUGGAGACAAAACAGGAAGCGAAGAUGCAAAAGGACAAGUAGAUAAGGAAAAUGGAUUAGAAGAGAAAGAAUAGAGACAAGAGAACAAAAGAAAGGUAAACGAUUAGGAAAAUAAAAGAUUGAAAUUUAGAUUAAGUAAGUACGUCUUUAUUCGUACGUCAUAGGAUGGUUAUUCGAAUUAAAAGAUUUUGAUUUGUA
Molecule: long non-coding RNA, 741 nt
Organism: Actinia tenebrosa (Australian red waratah sea anemone)
Lineage: Eukaryota; Metazoa; Cnidaria; Anthozoa; Actiniaria; Actiniidae
Source: RefSeq, a predicted model, not a curated record